Triticum aestivum (bread wheat) is the source of this 137-nucleotide non-coding RNA. The record is from Rfam. Lineage: Eukaryota; Viridiplantae; Streptophyta; Magnoliopsida; Poales; Poaceae.
GCUCUCUGAUCCGAAGAUCGUCUCCAAAAUUCUCGCCGGCCUGGACAUGGAGUACAACCCGGUGGUCUCUGCGCUCGCCGCCAGGGUGGAGCCCAUCACCGUCCAGGAGCUCUACAGGCAGCUGCUCAGUUUUGAUG